Long non-coding RNA from Stegodyphus dumicola, 391 nucleotides. The record is from RefSeq and is a predicted model, not a curated record. NCBI's taxonomy places the organism in Eukaryota, Metazoa, Arthropoda, Arachnida, Araneae, Eresidae.
AAAAAGUGGCAAUAGCAUUAAACUUUUAUUUUGUACCUGAUUUCCAGAAAAUUUUACAAUUUAUUUAUAAGAACUAAAUUCACUUGAGAUUGACAUUUACUUCGGAAGUUCUUACUUACCACUUUUAUACAACAUUUAAUGUGUAACUGUUAAUAUAAGUAGCACUGACUGUGUUUUAUUCGGUAAAAUUUAUGCUUGGAUUGUAAGCCUAAAUUGUGAAAAGCUUUACUGUAGUUUUAAAAUGUUGAUAUCAGUCAAAAUACUAAAAGGAGGAGAGUGUGACAUCGAGGUUUCUGCCUCUGCUUCAAUUAAUAGCGUGAAGCAAAUAGUUGCUCAACAGCUAAGAAUCCCAGUUGAUCAGCAAAGACUUGUUUUCAAGGGAAAAACACUU